GUCUCCUUUGUGGCCUUGGGAAAUAGUUGUGGGAGCUGAAAGUGUCUGAGAAUAAGAACUCUAGUCGCUCAGCACCAGAAGGUUAAGUGAGGAUCUUGGAGUCAUAAGAAGAGUGAAUAUGUUUGUUAGUUACACUCAGCACCAGAAGGUUAGGUGAGGAUCUUAGGAGUCAUAGAGGAGUGAAUAUGUUUGUUAGUUACACUCAGCACCAGAAGGUUAAGUGAGGAUCUUGGAGUCAUAAGAAGAGUGAAUAUGUUUGUUAGUUACACUCAGCACCAGAAGGUUAAGUGAGGAUCUUGGAAUCAUAAGAAGAGUGAAUAUGUUUGUUAGUUACACUCAGCACCAGAAGGUUAAGUGAGGAUCUUAGGAGUCAUAAGAAGAGUGAAUAUGUUUGUUAGUUACACUCAGCACCAGAAGGUUAAGUGAGGAUCUUAGGAGUCAUAAGAAGAGUGAAUAUGUUUGUUAGUUACACUCAGCACCAGAAGGUUGAGUGAGGAUCUUAGGAAUCAUAAGAAGAGUGAAUAUGUUUGUUAGUUACACUCAGCACCAGAAGGUUAAGUGAGGAUCUUGGAGUCAUAAGAAGAGUGAAUAUGUUUGUUAGUUACACUCAGCACCAGAAGGUUAGGUGAGGAUCUUAGGAGUCAUAGAGGAGUGAAUAUGUUUGUUAGUUACACUCAGCACCAGAAGGUUAGGUGAGGAUCUUAGGAGUCAUAGAGAAGUGAAUAUGUUUGUUAGUUACACUCAGCACCAGAAGAUUGAGUGAGGGUCUUAGGAGUCAUAAAGAAGUGAAUAUGUUUGUUAGUCACACUCAGCACCAGAAGGUUGAGUGAGGGUCUUCAGGACUCUCUCACUGUCUUCGGGUAAUGAGUUAAAGAAUAGUGAAGGCUGAACACUAAAUCAAUCCUGUACAAAUGUCAUUCACUCAGAUUUGAUCCCUCACAUGAACCAUCUCGCUACUAAACUAACUAACACUCUCUCCCCAGUGGUCCCUAUGAAGUCACCACUGCAACCAUUGAGAACUUUGGUAGAAUGUGUUAAGACAAUCCUGUAAAACCUAUCAUUCACUUGGGUUUGUUCCCUCGCAUGAACCAUCUUGCUACUAAACUAACUCUCUCUCUCUCUCUCUCUCUCUCUCUCUCUCUCCCCAGUGGUCCCUACAAUGCGCCCCACCACUGCAACCAUUGAAAACUGUGGUAGAAUGUGUUAAGACAAUCCUGUAAAACCUGUCAUUCACUUGGGUUUGUUCCCUCGCAUUAACCAUCUCGCUACUAAACUAACCCCAGUGGUCCCUACAAUGCGCCCCACCACUGCAACCAUUGAAAACUCUGGUAGAAUGUAUUAAGACAAGGACACAUUCCCAUCACCACCUUACAAAAGAUUAAGAAUAUUAGUUAAAAGGAAUAAAUACUGCAUGAAUACAUCAGUAAAGUAAGAAUGACUAAAUACUUUCAUGUAAUACUGAGCUAAUACAUGUGUAGUGAAGUAGACAGCAAUGAUUAAAAUAAGUAAUACUGACUUUAAACCCCAACGGUCUGAUCUGGCCAUAUUCCACCUGAUUCAUGCCAGGUAGAUAUGUGUGAGUGUAAGGUGCAGGUGUGUCAGUGCCUAUAUACUUCUCCAAGAGUACAGAAUUUUACCACUACUGCCCUCAUUGCCUUCCCGUGAGAUGCUGUGUUCAGGCGUUCAAGCCAUACAACAUAUAAGCAUUGCCUUCCUCUCCUAGCCCUGACCAACGUUGCCAGAUUGUUGUACUCAGCCUCCUGUUUCCCAAUUUCCGACCCCAAAACUGCCUCCUCAACCCCAAUAACUGCCUUCGUAUAUAGUUAUCGCAAAAAUGGUUAAUUAUACUGGUGCUUCUUGGCAAUAGUUAUGGCUCAGAAACUGGUAAAUACGAGGCUCUGAGUAGGACAAUCUGGCAAUGGUGGCCCUGACCUUUUUGUAGCUCAGAGUUUGAAUCAAGGUUGUCUUCUUGAUCAUUACACUUGUGGCCUUUUUUGGGAAGCUGUGUUGAUCCUACAAGCUCCACAGCACUUAGUCUUGUUUCCCCAACCCUGGCCCCAUUGUAGCUUAGAGGCUGACUUCAUAUUUUAACAUGGGAAGAAAAUACCAAACAUGCCUCACCUCACUCAGGCUGUCAGCAAUGAAACACCUUCAGACUGUGAGCCACAAAGGUCAGGGCUGAUGACAGGACUGACAGACAGCAAACAAGAUAACCAGCAGCAUGACUAAGAAUAACAGCACUUAAAUUACUGAUAAGCGACAAACAGAAAAGAAAUUACUAACAAAAGACAA
This is a long non-coding RNA of Eriocheir sinensis (Chinese mitten crab), 2292 nucleotides long. RefSeq lists it as uncharacterized. The record is from RefSeq and is a predicted model, not a curated record. NCBI's taxonomy places the organism in Eukaryota, Metazoa, Arthropoda, Malacostraca, Decapoda, Varunidae. The transcript has 3 exons.